RNAcentral lists this ribosomal RNA (539 nucleotides) under uncultured swine feces bacterium F11. RNAcentral's name for it is "bacterial SSU rRNA". It matches the Rfam family "Bacterial small subunit ribosomal RNA", at positions 7 to 505 of the family's 1533-position model. The record is from RNAcentral.
GAGAGUUUGAUUCUGGCUCAGGAUGAACGCCGGCGGUGUGCCUAAUACAUGCAAGUCGUACGCACUGGCCCAACUGAUUGAUGGUGCUUGCACCUGAUUGACGAUGGAUCACCAGUGAGUGGCGGACGGGUGAGUAACACGUAGGUAACCUGCCCCGGAGCGGGGGAUAACAUUUGGAAACAGAUGCUAAUACCGCAUAACAACAAAAGCCACAUGGCUUUUGUUUGAAAGAUGGCUUUGGCUAUCACUCUGGGAUGGACCUGCGGUGCAUUAGCUAGUUGGUAAGGUAACGGCUUACCAAGGCGAUGAUGCAUAGCCGAGUUGAGAGACUGAUCGGCCACAAUGGAACUGAGACACGGUCCAUACUCCUACGGGAGGCAGCAGUAGGGAAUCUUCCACAAUGGGCGCAAGCCUGAUGGAGCAACACCGCGUGAGUGAAGAAGGGUUUCGGCUCGUAAAGCUCUGUUGUUGGAGAAGACGUGCGUGAGAGUACUGUUCACGCAGUGACGGUAUCCCCACCAGAAAUCACGCUUAUCACG